This 378-nucleotide unclassified non-coding RNA is filed under the name uncultured Parachlamydiaceae bacterium. RNAcentral describes it as "contains 16S-23S intergenic spacer region". Lineage: Bacteria; Pseudomonadati; Chlamydiota; Chlamydiia; Parachlamydiales; Parachlamydiaceae. The record is from RNAcentral.
UCCCGGUUAACCCGGGCAGUCUCAUUAGAGUUCCCACCAUUACGUGUUGGCAACUAAUGAUAAGGGUUGCGCUCGUUGCGGGACUUAACCCAACACCUCACGGCACGAGCUGACGACAGCCAUGCAGCACCUGUACAGCGGUCCCGAAGGAAGAUGCCAUUUCUGGCACUGUCCACUGUAUGUCAAGCCUGGGUAAGGUUCUUCGCGUUGCAUCGAAUUAAACCACAUGCUCCACUGCUUGUGCGGGUCCCCGUCAAUUCUUUUGAGUUUCACCCUUGCGAGCGUACUUCCCAGGCGGUAUACUUAUCGCGUUGGCUUCGGCACAGCCGGGGUUGAGUCCAGCUACACCAAGUAUACAUCGUUUACGGCAAGGACUAC